RNAcentral lists this long non-coding RNA (2597 nucleotides) under Volvox carteri. RNAcentral describes it as "long non-coding RNA (VCAR_LNC003108)". The record is from RNAcentral. Lineage: Eukaryota; Viridiplantae; Chlorophyta; Chlorophyceae; Chlamydomonadales; Volvocaceae.
AGCAUUAACAUGACCAGUGACAGUGCGACCAGGUUCAUUUCACCACCAUUCGCCAGGGUGUUUACAUUCUCUAACUGGAUACCGGGUCCCUGCCAUUUCCACAUCAGGCUGAUUGUUACCUUGUAUGUAUGUUGUUACAGGGUGGUUAACUUCACCAGCGGCCCCCUUUCCCGGGGCAGUCCCUUCUCUCCCCUGCUAGAGGGGCACCCUAAUCCGUCACCCCAUCCAACUUCAGAAUGUAUUCGUUGGGUUCAGCAACUCACCACCAGCAUCCAACCAAAUCUAGCGGAUCAACGGCGCAUCAACUUAGUUCCUGGUCAGCUCGCAAGUUGAUAUUAUCACGUCCUACACCGUCCAUAAGAUGGGGGGCCACCUCCCAUUUCAUGACUCCUCAAACACCCGAGGAGCCGGCAGGCGGAUUUGAACCCGGGUCGACUGGGUCGACUGGGAGCAGAAGUCAGGCCUUAACCUCUGCCAGCCGCCUGCCUGUAUGUAUGAUGUUACAGGGUGGUUAACUUCGCCAGCGGCCCCCUUUCCCGGGGCAGUCCCUGCUCUCCCCUGCUAGAGGGGCACCCUAAUCCGUCACCCAAUCCGACUUCAGAAUGUAUUCGUUGGGUUCGGCAACUCACCACCAGCAUCCAACCAUAUCUAGCGGAUCAACGGCGCAUCAACUUAGUUCCUGGUCAGCUCGCAAGUUGAUAGGCGGAGGAGGCGGAGGAGGAGGACAACGAUGACAAGGAGGAAGUGCAGCUGCCACUGCAGCAGCAGCACAGGCAGCCAGCCAACAAUAGCUGCAGCAGUGGCCAUGGCAACAUCAAUGGCAGGCAAUUGAUGUGCCCACCCUUGCUGCUGCCACGACGACAGGCUGAGUUGCUUUGGGUUGGUAGGUUGCGUUGCGUUCGUCCACAAGGCCAGCACCAGCAAGGUUUUGCUCUCGCGCAGCGAAGCACCCAGGCUGAGUUGCUUUUGGUUGGUAGGUUGCGUUGCGUUUUAUCCACAAGGCCAGCCCCAGCAGUUUUUCCAAGUACUAAAAUACUAUUACAGAAAGUUGCAUUACAUUUUGUUAUUUAAUUAUUAGCUAUUAUAUUACUAGCAUUUAAUGUAUUGAAAUUUGCAAUAUAUGUCGAAUUUAUAUUACUCGUAAAAGUUGUAAUACCAUCGAAUGUUGUAUUGCUACUAAAUAAAUUAAUACCAUAAAAUGUUGCAUUUGAUGUUAAUUCUAUAGCAUUACUGAAUACUGUUUUUCCAAGUAAUAAUAUACUAUUACAGAAAGUUGCAUUACAUUUUGUUAUUAAAUUAUUUGCUAUUAUAUUACUAGCAUUAAAAGUAUUGAAAUUUGCGAUAUAUGUCGAAUUUAUAUUACUCGUAAAAGUUGUAAUGCCAUCGAAUGUUGUAUUGCUAGUAAAUAAAUUUAUACAAUAAAAUGUAGCAUUAGAGGUUAAUUCUACUGAAUUACUGAAUACUGUUUUACCAAGUAAUAAUAUACUAUUACAGAAAGUUGCAUUACAUUUUGUUAUUAAAUUAUUUGCUAUUAUAUUACUAGCAUUAAAAGUAUUGAAAUUUGCGAUAUAUGUCGAAUUUAUAUUACUCGUAAAAGUCGUUAUCGGGCUACCGAUGCAUAUCCGGUAGCUAAGUGAUAGACAUUAGGGCACCGUCUGGACGGCGCAGUGAGAUCACGGAAUGUACGUGCAGUUAGAUCGCGGAAUGCACGAGUUUUCCGCUAGCGCCGGUAUUUAGGGCGGUGACUGCGCCUAUUAGUUUAUCUCAUAACGAUCGGUAUUCCUACCAGGAAUCUCCUCAAGUCCUGCCGAACGCUAACAAUACUCUUUACAUUACUUGUAACAGUUUAUCGUGCUAAAUAUCUUCGCCACCGGCAAUCCUUCCGAAAUAACAAUCAGCGUUAGCCAUCACCGUCGCCAAUUCUUCAAUAGGUUAUGAGCCCUGCUUAGCGCCGACAGUUAUCGCCCAAUUGUUGAUGUUGAUGUUGAUGUUGUUACAGGGUGGUUAAGCUUCACCAGUGGCCUCCUUCCCGAGGCAAUUCCCUGCUCUCCCCUGCUAGAGGGGGCACCCUAAGCCAUUCACCCCAUCCGACUUCAGAGUGUACUCUUUGAGUUUGGCAACUCACCACCAGCAUCCAACCAAAUUUAGCGGAUCAACGGCGCUUCAACUUAGUUAUUGGUCAGCUCGCGAGUUCACUUUAUCACGUCCUACACCGUCCACAAGAUGGGGGGCCACCUCCCAUUUCAUCACCUCUCAAACUCCCCGAGAGGUCGGCAGGCGGAUUUGAACCCGGACGCGCCGGGACGCGACGGGAGCAGAAGCCAGGCCUUAACUUCUGCCAGCCGCCUGCCAAUUGUUAUUUCUAUCCCUCAUCAACAAUGGUUAAGGACAAGCUUGAUGAGUCGCUGGAUCUCAACAACUACUCUACCUGGCAAAUUCGGUUCAGCGUGUUGUGCAUGGAGCUUGGGCUUGAGCAAUCCCUGCUCGCCGAGCCGUGCAACGAGGAGCAAAUUCGACAGUCACGGAAGGUCAUCAAUCUGCUCAUCAAGAACGUCAAGGAUCAUCAUUUGCCGAUGGUUACCGGUGCUGCCAACGCG